UCAGACAGGACACCCCGCUGACAAUUAACACCCGUGAACAAAAAGUAGUAACUUAACAAGAAAACCCUACUACACCCUAUGUUGACCUAACACCAGAGCACUACAAGAAAGAUUUAAAGAAAGAGAAGGAACUCGGCAAAUAAUAACCUCGCCUGUUUACCAAAAACAUCGCCUCUUGAAUAAUAUAAGAGGUCCAGCCUGCCCAGUGACUCUGUUCAACGGCCGCGGUAUCCUAACCGUGCGAAGGUAGCGUAAUCACUUGUUCUUUAAAUGAGGACUAGUAUGAACGGCACCACGAAGGUUAUGCUGUCUCCUCUUUCCAAUCAGUGAAACUAAUCUCCCCGUGAAGAAGCGAGGAUAUACGUAUAAGACGAGAAGACCCUAUGGAGCUUUAAACCACACAACACCUGCUCUAACUUAAUUAACUUUCAGAAAACCCCCAUUUACCCAUGCAGGAUGAUUGUCAGUUUUAGGUUGGGGUGACCGCGGAGCACAAAAUAACCUCCACAUUGAAAGGAGCCCACUCCUUAGCUAAGAGCCACACCUCCACGCAUCAACAAA
Molecule: ribosomal RNA, 561 nt
Filed under: Nymphargus lasgralarias (Las Gralarias glassfrog)
Lineage: Eukaryota; Metazoa; Chordata; Amphibia; Anura; Centrolenidae
Description: partial 16S ribosomal RNA
Rfam family: Bacterial large subunit ribosomal RNA
Source: RNAcentral